This is a long non-coding RNA of Cynoglossus semilaevis (tongue sole), 1939 nucleotides long. RefSeq lists it as uncharacterized. Lineage: Eukaryota; Metazoa; Chordata; Actinopteri; Pleuronectiformes; Cynoglossidae. The record is from RefSeq and is a predicted model, not a curated record. The transcript has 3 exons.
UUGUAUUGUAUGGUAUUGCAUUGCAUUGAAUUUCAUUGCAUUGACAAAAUUGAGAGAAAAUUCUGAUUGAAUGUAUAACAGCCAUUAGCAAAAACAUAUGUAUUUUUAGAUUGUGGCGAGCCUUUUGAACGCAAUGUUUCCAACAGCACGUGAAUGCAGCAUCUAGCCGCUCCGCUCUGAGCCAUAGGAGCGGGCAGAGCCUCACACGAGGCAGGGACCCUCAGUACGGGGACGGAGAGAGACGGAGAAGUGCGGAGCACUUGUUUCCUGCCAAGAUGCCUCACUUGACCUUCGACCUGUGACUGAUCUGCCUUUUCUGUUGUUUUUUUUAAAUACCUGUGGAUAUAUCCUAACACUGAAGUCUACACAGAAAUGGAAAUCCACCCCAACCCUUUUUUAAAGCCAAUGAUAAAAGAUGGUCUCUGUCAUUGAGGUUGUCUCGUCCUCCUUUUGUCUGUCCUCAGUCCAGCCUUUGUUGACCUGACACUACAGAGAAUACUCACCAAGAAGUGAUAUGGCCAAGGCACAGCACGUGAAUCUGCUUGGACCCCACUGGGGAAUGGGUGGCAUCUUCUCCUUGAAGGAAAGUUGAUGGACACACAAUCUUUCUGUGUUUUAAAUUCAUGCACCAGAACUGGAAACCCCACUGGAAGGGGACUGAAGUACUCUGACAAAGUAUUCCUCUUAAUUCUCUAUACGGAUAUUUAUCUGUGGAAGCAACGAAGGAGUCACUUAUGGGAAAAUGGAGGGAGGAGCAGAGGCGAGUCCACAGCAGCACCAGAGGAGGAAAGCAGUGCUGCAUGGCUUGGAGGACCAGAAAAAGCUGCUGAGGCCAGACUGUGGUCUCCUGCCUGGAAUCAUGAAGCCAGAAACAGACAUUUGAUCACCAGCACCUGGAUCUUCUCAUUCAUCUCCAGAACACAUUGAGAACUGGGAGAUCAAAGAAGAGUGAGGACUUCAAAGAGAAAGUAUUCCUACUUGUGAGGGAAUUUUUGCCGCUGCUAUAGUCAAAUCCUGACCAGGAAUAGCAAGAUGAGAGAGUGAUGAAGACUCAGCGUUUCACUACCAAUCUACCGUGAUGGCUGACUUGAAUGUCAGUGGAUAUGAGGAGAUGAUAGCAAGCUAACAGCUAAUUGGUCUAAUUAACUUUUAACAGAAUUCUACUUUUACUGGUGAGAACAAACCAUUGAAGAGAUGAAUGAACUCAGCGGACUGCUGACUAGAAUGUUGUUUAUUUUCUCUGGUCAUUGUUAAUUCAUCCUGUUCUCCUAAAUGUUCUCCUCGACUCAUGAAUGCACAUCAAUUAAAAAAGGAUGAAAGAUAAACUUUUCUAACAAGGUUAGGAUCAAAUAGAAUCAAACUGUUGAUGCGGUUGUUCCUCACUGUGUGGAUGCUGAUUACCCCAAGGCUUUAGUUAGGCUCUGCAGAAGGAGUAAAUAUGGCCUGGAGAAGUGCAGAUGGAAUUGUCUUUAAUGACAACAGAUCCUAACAGCAUCACUGGAAUUGAAUUACGUGUAAUCCCACAGUUAAUGCCUGUAUGCGUUACCCUCUGUCAGAGCCAAUCUGUGCAAUUAAAGGAAAUCAGAAAUGAUGUGAUUUCUCAGUGGAUUUGCGCUCUGACUGAAAAAGGCGUGGAGUCUCAGGUGCAGCUGUGACGAUAAUCAGGCCAGAGGACCAGAGUUGAGGGGAUUCUUCAGAUAAAUCAAAACUGACUGCAGAUUGUGUAUCUGAUCUGAAAAGAUCAGCUACACAACACACAGGUUUUUUGUGUAUUUGUGAUUGUAAUCUUGAUUAGAAUAGAAAAUAUCUCUCUUUCUUACCAAACCGAGAACCACAGCCCUUAACUUGGUUCUCUAUCUCAUUUAUGACUUUCUGUUGUCUUUGCCAAUAAAUCACAAUUAAAAACUAAAGCUAAAGUAAAUGUAUCUUUUCACAAAUG